CUACGGGAGGCAGCAGUGGGGAAUAUUGCACAAUGGGCGCAAGCCUGAUGCAGCAACGCCGCGUGAGGGAUGAAGGCCUUCGGGUUGUAAACCUCUUUUAGCAGGGAAGAAGCGAAAGUGACGGUACCUGCAGAAAAAGCGCCGGCUAACUACGUGCCAGCAGCCGCGGUAAUACGUAGGGCGCAAGCGUUGUCCGGAAUUAUUGGGCGUAAAGAGCUCGUAGGCGGUUUGUCGCGUCUGCUGUGAAAAUCCGAGGCUCAACCUCGGACCUGCAGUGGGUACGGGCAAACUAGAGUGCGGUAGGGGAGAUUGGAAUUCCUGGUGUAGCGGUGGAAUGCGCAGAUAUCAGGAGGAACACCAAUGGCGAAGGCAGAUCUCUGGGCCGUAACUGACGCUGAGGAGCGAAAGCGUGGGGAGCGAACAGGAUUAGAUACCCUGGUAGUCCACGCCGUAAACGGUGGGAACUAGAUGUAGGGACCGUUCCACGGUUUCUGUGUCGCAGCUAACGCAUUAAGUUCCCCGCCUGGGGAGUACGGCCGCAAGGCUAAAACUCAAAGGAAUUGACGG
Molecule: ribosomal RNA, 567 nt
Filed under: uncultured bacterium
Lineage: Bacteria
Description: bacterial SSU rRNA
Rfam family: Bacterial small subunit ribosomal RNA
Source: RNAcentral